AGGUUCACGCGUCGCAAACCUAUUACGUCCGGUCGGUACUAUUGUUCUGUCUAAACUUGCUCUCAUUUUAUUUAAUUCGGCCGUUCAUUUCAUUCAAGUCGUGUUCCUGUCCACUAAGUGCGGAUUUUCUCAAUAUCUGUGCAAGUUUAAUCGUUUCAUCGAAGGUUUAGUGAGCCUCAGGACCAAUUUGCACUCGGCUAAGGUAAAGGAUUCUGACUUUUCAAAGAUGGCGGGCGUGAAUGUGUCCUUCCUGUCUCUCGUUUCAUCGGUUGAAGCUAUUCGUUUUCGCGUUGUGAAAGUGAACUUCUCGCGAACGUUCGUCUGAAGUUUUCGUGGACUGAUUCAAUUUCGAUGAAGACUAUUCUCGAUAAUGGAGAUACUACUCUAGAUUCGGAGGUAUUGAAAACGGCGUGAACGUGUUUUACCUCCCAUCGGUUGGAGUGAUUUGGUUUCGCACAACGCAAGGGGCCUUCUCUCGAUUAUGUGUCGAAUGUUUUCGUGGACUUGAUUUCGGAUCCGACAAUAUUUCGUGAUUUCUCAUUCUGAAGAAAACCGGCCAGAUCUAGGCAUCUUCUUUCUUGCGAUCCCUAUUGUGUUCGGCUGAUGUGACGAGAAUUUGCAUUGUGUUCCGUUCGAGUUGAAUCGCGUGGAUUUUUGAACCUCCGAGGUUCUGCGUGUGCUUGCUCAAAGCUCGGACAUUUCUAUUCGUCUCACUUUUGUAUUUGAUCGGUUCAGUACUUUCGCAGUUCGUCUGAUAUGUGUGAACUUUUCGUGGUGGUUUCGAGGAAUUCAACAAUACGUCUCAACGGUCGCGGACAAUUUCGGCUGUCGUGUUUUCGGAUCCGAUUAUACUUGUGUUUUCGCGUCGUGUGAAUCAGUGAUUGUGUUCAGUGCGUUUCGUGUGAUCUUUGUUUCAUCUGUGGAACGAGUCUCGGGAAUUAUGUCGAUGAUUAUUCUGGAAUAUUCUGCCCAAUUAAGCUAUCUUCGUCGGGUUGGUGAGGCUCUCCGGUCAGAUAACGAUUAUAAGACGCAAUACGUUUGGAACACCCAACAUGGACAGAAUCGAAAUCAGCAUAGAAAAUGUUUGUAAUUCGUUCACUCUACAGUGAACUUGUGUCCUCAAUCGACAUUAAUAAUAUUUUAAAAUGUUAAAUAAUGGGCAUUUUUCAGUGUAGUUUCAGUGACAGUGUUGUGAGUGCUUUCAGCCUGGCGUCGGGAAAUUGGAUAACCUACCGGCGGUACGUAUUUAACACUUUUUUCCUCUCUUUUGAUAAGUAUUAUCAUUUUCUUUUCUAAUAUUUAGUGAUGUUUUUUAAUGAUAUCUCUACAGAAACACAU
Molecule: long non-coding RNA, 1338 nt
Filed under: Bemisia tabaci
Lineage: Eukaryota; Metazoa; Arthropoda; Insecta; Hemiptera; Aleyrodidae
Description: lncRNA ENSSSA3NGG006524
Source: RNAcentral